UGGGGAAUAUUGGACAAUGGGCGAAAGCCUGACCCAGCAACGCCGCGUGAAGGAUGAGGUAUUUCGGUAUGUAAACUUCGUAAGAAUAGGAAGAAUAAAUGACGGUACUAUUUGUAAGGUCCGGCUAACUACGUGCCAGCAGCCGCGGUAAUACGUAGGGACCAAGCGUUGUUCGGAUUUACUGGGCGUAAAGGGCGCGUAGGCGGUGUGUCAAGUCAGUUGUGAAAUCUCCGAGCUUAACUCGGAACGGUCAACUGAUACUGUCACACUAGAGUACAGAAGGGGCAAUCGGAAUUCUUGGUGUAGCGGUGAAAUGCGUAGAUAUCAAGAGGAACACCUGAGGCGAAGGCGGGUUGCUGGGCUGAUACUGACGCUGAGGCGCGAAAGCUAGGGUAGCAAACGGGAUUAGAUACCCCAGUAGUCCCUGAG
This 429-nucleotide ribosomal RNA is filed under the name uncultured bacterium. RNAcentral describes it as "bacterial SSU rRNA". It matches the Rfam family "Bacterial small subunit ribosomal RNA", at positions 355 to 801 of the family's 1533-position model. The record is from RNAcentral.